GAUGAACGCCGGCGGUGUGCCUAAUACAUGCAAGUCGAACGCGUUGGCCCAACUGAUUGAACGUGCUUGCACGGACUUGACGUUGGUUUACCAGCGAGUGGCGGACGGGUGAGUAACACGUAGGUAACCUGCCCCAAAGCGGGGGAUAACAUUUGGAAACAGAUGCUAAUACCGCAUAACAAUUUGAAUCGCAUGAUUCAAAUUUAAAAGAUGGCUUCGGCUAUCACUUUGGGAUGGACCUGCGGCGCAUUAGCUUGUUGGUAGGGUAACGGCCUACCAAGGCUGUGAUGCGUAGCCGAGUUGAGAGACUGAUCGGCCACAAUGGAACUGAGACACGGUCCAUACUCCUACGGGAGGCAGCAGUAGGGAAUCUUCCACAAUGGGCGCAAGCCUGAUGGAGCAACACCGCGUGAGUGAAGAAGGGUUUCGGCUCGUAAAGCUCUGUUAUUGGGGAAGAAGCAGUGACGGUACCCAAUGAGGAAGUCCCGGCUAACUACGUG
This 500-nucleotide ribosomal RNA is filed under the name uncultured bacterium. Its description in RNAcentral is "bacterial SSU rRNA". It matches the Rfam family "Bacterial small subunit ribosomal RNA", at positions 28 to 507 of the family's 1533-position model. The record is from RNAcentral.